UGCCAUUAAAGAAAAUAUAAAGAACACAGGACGGGAUGUCUACAAUGCAGGGGGUGCCAUAUAAACAGAAAGAAGAAAAUAUAGAAAAAAACAAGUAAACAAGGGUUGAGGUUGAAAGACAAAACGUAAAGAAAGAUAGAAAAAGGGAGAAUCACGUAAAAGCUGAGAAACAGAAAAAAUUAGAAAAAGAAAUCUCAAGAGAAACAAAAGGGGCGGAGACAGCCCAGUAUAAAAGGCCCCGAGUGGCAACAUAGAGAACAGAAAGACGUUGGGCCAGCCUGAAGAAGGCUGCACCCAGCCGAAACGUCGCGAUGGCCCAACGGCAGUGCACUACACCCGCUAAGGGUAAUUUUUUGAACAGGGGGCACCGUUCCCAGUCCCAUUGAUGGACCGUGCAUUCAGGUUCCGGCAAUAGCCGGGCCUGGUCUUUACCCAACACCUAACCAGCCUGUGCCUCAUGGGAUUGGUGGUGCCCCUGCCUAAUAACUCCCUAAGAAUGGGAAUCCCCCCACCCACUAACUUUCCCUAACCCUAACCCCUUUGACCCCCCUCCCCCCCUCCCCCCUCUUAUCCCUCACCUAAGGGAACAAUAUCAAACCUAAGAAAAGGAAGAAGAAGGUCACGUAAAAGACACAAAGAAAGAUAAGACAAACAAAGAGGGAAAAAGGACACAAACAAAGAAAAGAGAAACUAAGAAAGUCACGUAAAGGACACAAAGAAAGAUAAGAAAACUCAAGAAAGAGCAUAAGGAAGUCACGUAAAAGACACAAGAUAAUAAUAAGAAAGUCACGUUAAAGACACAAAGAAAGAUAAGAUAAACAAAGAAGGAAUAAGUGACACAAACAGAAAAAAUGGAAAGGAUAUAAAGGAAGGGGGUGCCAUUAAAGAAAAUAUAAAGAACACAGGACGGGAUGUCUACAAUGCAGGGGGUGCCAUAUAAACAGAAAGAAGAAAAUAUAGAAAAAAACAAGUAAACAAGGGUUGAGGUUGAAAGACAAAACGUAAAGAAAGAUAGAAAAAGGGAGAAUCACGUAAAAGCUGAGAAACAGAAAAAAUUAGAAAAAGAAAUCUCAAGAGAAACAAAAGGGGCGGAGACAGCCCAGUAUAAAAGGCCCCGAGUGGCAACAUAGAGAACAGAAAGACGUUGGGCCAGCCUGAAGAAGGCUGCACCCAGCCGAAACGUCGCGAUGGCCCAACGGCAGUGCACUACACCCGCUAAGGGUAAUUUUUUGAACAGGGGGCACCGUUCCCAGUCCCAUUGAUGGACCGUGCAUUCAGGUUCCGGCAAUAGCCGGGCCUGGUCUUUACCCAACACCUAACCCCCCCUAACCCUAUCCAGCCAGUGCCUCGUGGGGUUGGGGGUGCCCCUGCCCUCUAUCUUACCCUAACCCUAACCAUAGGGGGGUCCCUAACACAAAAAACGAAGACAAGAAGUCACGUACAGAAAAACAAGUAGAAAAAGAAAAAGACAAGAAGUCACGUACAGAAAAACAAGUAGAAAAAGAAAAAGACAAGAAGUCACGUACAGAAAAACAAGUAGAAAAAGAGAAAGACAAGAAGUCACGUAUAAGAAAGAAAGAUAAGCAGAAAAAGCAAAAGACAAGAAGUCACGUACAAAAGAAAAAGACAAGUAGUCAGAAAAAGAAAAAGACAAGAAGUCACGUACAAGAAAGAAAGAUAAGCAGAAACAGAAAAAGACAAGAAGUCACGUAAGAUAAAACAAAGAGAAUAAUGUAAAUAACCACACGGAAAGGAUUUAAAGGAAGGUGGUGCCAUAAACAAAAGUACAGUGAACAAAGGACGGGGAUGUCAAAAAAGACAGGGGGUGCCAUAAAAAGAUAAAGAGAAACAAAGAAAGAACAAAAAGAAAAAAAUAGUAAGAAAACUAAAGAUAUGAAAAGACAAGAAGUCACGUAAAAUAGAAAGAAAGCAGAAAAAGAAAAAGACAAGAAGUCAGAAAAAGAAAAAGACAAGAAGUCACGUACAAGAAAGAAAGCUAAGCAGAAAAAGAAAAAGACAAGAAGUCAACUUAAAAAAGCCCAAGUGGGAGGAGCUAACAAAAGUAUAAAAGGCCAAGAGAGGCAGUCAGAAAACAGAGAGAAGACACACUGGGUCGGCCUGAAGAAGGCAAAAACAUGCCGAAACGUCGCGAACGGCCCAGUGAAUGCUAAUUGUGCACUAAAACCCUAGAUAAGGGCAAUUUUUUGAACCAGGCAGGGACACCACCACCCGGCCCCAUCGAUGGCCCGUGCACCUCAGGCUACCAGCUUGCUGGUGGCCUGAUUCUUUUCUAA
Astatotilapia calliptera (eastern happy) is the source of this 2294-nucleotide long non-coding RNA. Lineage: Eukaryota; Metazoa; Chordata; Actinopteri; Cichliformes; Cichlidae. The record is from Ensembl.